This 484-nucleotide ribosomal RNA is filed under the name uncultured bacterium. RNAcentral's name for it is "partial 16S ribosomal RNA". It matches the Rfam family "Bacterial small subunit ribosomal RNA", at positions 30 to 507 of the family's 1533-position model. The record is from RNAcentral.
AUUGAACGCUGGCGGCAGGCCUAACACAUGCAAGUCGAGCGGAUGAAGGGAGCUUGCUCCUGGAUUCAGCGGCGGACGGGUGAGUAAUGCCUAGGAAUCUGCCUGGUAGUGGGGGAUAACGUCCGGGAACCGGCGGUAAUUACGCCUACCUCCUGAGGGGGGAAGUUGGGGGAUCUCGGAACUCCACGUUUCCAGAUAGGCUAGGUCGGGUUAGCUAGUUGGUGGGGUAAAGGCCUACCAAGGCGACGGUCCGUAACUGGUCUGAGAGGGUUAUCAGUCACACUGGAACUGAGACACGGUCCAGACUCCUACGGGAGGCAGCAGUGGGGAAUAUUGGACAAUGGGCGAAAGCCUGAUCCAGCCAUGCCGCGUGUGUGAAGAAGGUCUUCGGAUUGUAAAGCACUUUAAGUUGGGAGGAAGGGCAGUAAGUUAAUACCUUGCUGUUUUGACGUUACCAACAGAAUAAGCACCGGCUAACUUCGUG